RNAcentral lists this ribosomal RNA (413 nucleotides) under uncultured microorganism. RNAcentral's name for it is "bacterial SSU rRNA". It matches the Rfam family "Archaeal small subunit ribosomal RNA", at positions 330 to 745 of the family's 1478-position model. The record is from RNAcentral.
GUGCACCAGUCGCGAAACCUCCGCAAUACACGAAAGUGUGACGGGGCCAUCCCGAGUGCCGUCCGCCGAGGACGGCUUUUCCCCAGUGUACACAGCUGGGGGAAUAAGGAGAGGGCAAGCCUGGUGUCAGCCGCCGCGGUAAUACCAGCUCUCCGAGUGGUGGGGACGCUUAUUGGGCCUAAAGCAUCCGUAGCCGGCUGGGCAAGUCCUCCGUUAAAUCCAACGAUUCAAUCGUUGGGCUGCGGGGGAUACUGUCCAGCUUGGGGGCGGGAGAGGCCGACGGUAUUCCCGGGGUAGGGGUGAAAUCCUAUAAUCCCGGGAGGACCACCAGUGGCGAAGGCUGUCGGCUAGAACGCGCCCGACGGUGAGGGAUGAAAGCUGGGGGAGCGAACCGGAUUAGAUACCCCCGUAGU